GAGUUUGAUCGUGGCUCAGAUUGAACGCUGGCGGCAUGCCUUACACAUGCAAGUCGAACGGCAGCACGGGAGCUUGCUCCUGGUGGCGAGUGGCGAACGGGUGAGUAAUGCAUCGGAACGUAUCCUGGAGUGGGGGAUAACGUAGCGAAAGUUACGCUAAUACCGCAUAUUCUGUGAGCAGGAAAGCGGGGGACCUUCGGGCCUCGCGCUCUUGGAGCGGCCGAUGUCGGAUUAGCUAGUUGGUGAGGUAAAGGCUCACCAAGGCGACGAUCCGUAGCAGGUCUGAGAGGAUGAUCUGCCACACUGGAACUGAGACACGGUCCAGACUCCUACGGGAGGCAGCAGUGGGAAUUUGGACAAUGGGGCAACCCUGAUCCAGCCAUGCCGCGUGAGUGA
RNAcentral lists this ribosomal RNA (396 nucleotides) under bacterium enrichment culture clone ALO1_GLFRUDD03HKKNQ. RNAcentral describes it as "bacterial SSU rRNA". It matches the Rfam family "Bacterial small subunit ribosomal RNA", at positions 9 to 408 of the family's 1533-position model. The record is from RNAcentral.